RNAcentral lists this ribosomal RNA (469 nucleotides) under uncultured bacterium. RNAcentral describes it as "bacterial SSU rRNA". It matches the Rfam family "Bacterial small subunit ribosomal RNA", at positions 60 to 524 of the family's 1533-position model. The record is from RNAcentral.
AGUCGAACGGCAGCGGGGGCUUCGGCCUGCCGGCGAGUGGCGAACGGGUGAGUAAUGCAUCGGAACGUACCCAGUCGUGGGGGAUAACUACGCGAAAGCGUAGCUAAUACCGCAUACGUCCUGAGGGAGAAAGCGGGGGACCGCAAGGCCUCGCGCGAUGAGAGCGGCCGAUGUCAGAUUAGCUAGUUGGUGAGGUAAAGGCUCACCAAGGCGACGAUCUGUAGCGGGUCUGAGAGGAUGAUCCGCCACACUGGGACUGAGACACGGCCCAGACUCCUACGGGAGGCAGCAGUGGGGAAUUUUGGACAAUGGGGGAAACCCUGAUCCAGCCAUGCCGCGUGAGUGAAGAAGGCCUUCGGGUUGUAAAGCUCUUUCGGCCGGGAAAAAAUUGCACGGAUGAACAGUCUGUGUAGAUGAUGGUACCGGACUAAGAAGCACCGGCUAACUACGUGCCAGCAGCCGCGGUAAU